This 478-nucleotide ribosomal RNA is filed under the name uncultured Bacillota bacterium. RNAcentral describes it as "bacterial SSU rRNA". It matches the Rfam family "Bacterial small subunit ribosomal RNA", at positions 355 to 824 of the family's 1533-position model. Lineage: Bacteria; Bacillati; Bacillota. The record is from RNAcentral.
UAGGGAAUCUUCCACAAUGGGCGCAAGCCUGAUGGAGCAACGCCGCGUGAGUGAUGAAGGCCUUCGGGUUGUAAAACUCUGUCUUCUGUGACGAACAAGCCUGUGAGUGGAAAGCUCAGGCCCUGACGGUAACAGAGGAGGAAGCCACGGCUAACUACGUGCCAGCAGCCGCGGUAAUACGUAGGUGGCAAGCGUUGUCCGGAAUCACUGGGCGUAAAGCGCGCGCAGGCGGCGAUCUACGUCUGGGGUGAAAGCCCGGAGCUCAACUCCGGGACUGCCUUGGAUACGGGAUCGCUUGAGGAUUGGAGAGGCAAGGGGGAAUUCCACGUGUAGCGGUGAAAUGCGUAGAUAUGUGGAGGAACACCUGUGGCGAAGGCGCCUUGCUAGCCAAUUCUGACGCUGAGGCGCGAAAGCGUGGGGAGCAAACAGGAUUAGAUACCCUGGUAGUCCACGCCGUAAACGAUGAGUGCUAGGUGUU